GGGGAAUAUUGGACAAUGGGCGCAAGCCUGAUCCAGCAAUGCCGCGUGUGUUUCCAAAGCCUUCGGGUUGUAAAGCACUUUAAGUUGGGAAGAAAAAACUCGCUCUAACACAGUGAGUCUUGACGGUACCGACAGAAUAAGCACCGGCUAACUCUGUGCCAGCAGCCGCGGUAAUACAGAGGGUGCAAGCGUUAAUCGGAUUUACUGGGCGUAAAGCGUGCGUAGGCGGUUCGUUAAGUCGGUUGUGAAAGCCCUGGGCUCAACCUGGGAAUUGCAGUCGAUACUGACGGACUAGAGAACGGUACAGGGAGGCGGAACUCCAGGUGUACCGGUGAAAUGCGUAGAUAUCUGGAAGAACACCGAUGGCGGAGGCAACCUCCUGGGCCUGUUCUGACUCUGAGGUACAAAAGCGUGGGUAGCAAACAGGAUUAGAUACCCUGGUAGUCCACG
RNAcentral lists this ribosomal RNA (450 nucleotides) under uncultured bacterium. Its description in RNAcentral is "bacterial SSU rRNA". It matches the Rfam family "Bacterial small subunit ribosomal RNA", at positions 356 to 799 of the family's 1533-position model. The record is from RNAcentral.